Long non-coding RNA from Gigantopelta aegis, 384 nucleotides. RefSeq lists it as uncharacterized. The record is from RefSeq and is a predicted model, not a curated record. The transcript has 3 exons. Lineage: Eukaryota; Metazoa; Mollusca; Gastropoda; Neomphalida; Peltospiridae.
CGGCACAUUACAAGUAGCAAAAGGUUUGGCCAUGUGGUAAAUAAAGUCAAAACUUCUGAAAUCACCUUUGGAUAUAGGUGCCUUUUAUUUUUCCCUUAUUUUUAGUCGGAUCGGGCUUUUUGUCAGAAUGGACACAAGCAACAACUACGGACAUGCGCAUUGCAAAUGGACGCCUUUUUGCAGACGUUGUGGACUGGAAAAAAUAUCACCGUGAUGAACAUAUAUCUCAAACCACGGCUGACCAAUCACAGCGAGCGUUACUGGUCUCAGAUCAUGAGUGUCCAAUCAGGAGGAACUUUACUGGUUACUCGGUACGACCCGCCAAUGAUUAAAGAUGUUACUUGAUGACAUGAAGUUCUGAAUCAAAGCAAUGUUGUUUUUUAU